UAUGCACAUACACUUGUAGAAUAAGGUUUUACUGGGUUAUCAAACCCACGGUGUUAAAAGACGUCAAAUAAAAUUUAUGAUUAUUACAUGACAGAAAUAUCAGGAGGGUAGAGCAUGCAGUCAGGCAGCCAGUAAGAGCAGAAGACACCGAACUUCAGUUUCUCAGUGCCCAUGAGAAAGACUAAUUUUUGUUCGUCAUAAUUUCUUCCCAUGCAGGAAUUUUUCCCAUCAGAUCAGAUCGAACCGUUAGGAUAAUCUAAUGUCAAAUCCCCAGCCCCAGGAGAUAUGGUUUUAACUUUCUCUUAAAGUAAGUCAAUGGUCUUUAUAUUUCCCAACUGGUACCUACAUACCUCUAAGAAAGCAUAUAGAAAGUCUAAUUGCAGUUUCAUAUACCUUUGAAUUGUAGGGUGGCCAUUAUAAGGUUUUGCACGUUGAAAGAAAUCUUCCCUUUGAGCUUGGCAGAAGUAAUAGCCCUCAAAUAGCUCCUGAAGAAUAACAGAAGGCAUGAACAAAGACCAAUGCCAUUCCAAGAUAAUAA
This is a long non-coding RNA of Telopea speciosissima, 538 nucleotides long. RefSeq lists it as uncharacterized. The record is from RefSeq and is a predicted model, not a curated record. Lineage: Eukaryota; Viridiplantae; Streptophyta; Magnoliopsida; Proteales; Proteaceae. The transcript has 2 exons.